AUAUUUAGCAACACAUAUAUACUAAAAUUGGAACGAUGCAGAGAAGAUUAGCAUGGCCCCUGCCCAAGGAUGACAUGCAAAUUCGUGAAGCGUUCCAUAUUAUU
Molecule: small nuclear RNA, 104 nt
Filed under: Nannospalax galili (Upper Galilee mountains blind mole rat)
Lineage: Eukaryota; Metazoa; Chordata; Mammalia; Rodentia; Spalacidae
Source: RNAcentral